Molecule: transfer RNA, 76 nt
Filed under: Vibrio cholerae
Lineage: Bacteria; Pseudomonadati; Pseudomonadota; Gammaproteobacteria; Vibrionales; Vibrionaceae
Description: tRNA-Gly
Rfam family: tRNA
About the family: Transfer RNA (tRNA) molecules are approximately 80 nucleotides in length. Their secondary structure includes four short double-helical elements and three loops (D, anti-codon, and T loops).
Source: RNAcentral
GCGACACUAGCUCAGUUGGUAGAGCGCAACCUUGCCAAGGUUGAGGUCACGAGUUUGAACCUCGUGUGUCGCUCCA